CCUACGGGAGGCAGCAGUGGGGAAUAUUGGACAAUGGGCGAAAGCCUGAUCCAGCCAUGCCGCGUGGGUGAAGAAGGCCUUCGGGUUGUAAAGCACUUUCAGUGGGGAAGAAAGCCUUGGGGCUAAUACCCUCGAGGAAGGACAUCACCCACAGAAGAAGCACCGGCUAACUCCGUGCCAGCAGCCGCGGUAAUACGGAGGGUGCGAGCGUUAAUCGGAAUUACUGGGCGUAAAGCGCGCGUAGGCGGUCUGAUAAGCCGGUUGUGAAAGCCCCGGGCUCAACCUGGGAACGGCAUCCGGAACUGUCAGGCUAGAGUGCAGGAGAGGAAGGUAGAAUUCCCGGUGUAGCGGUGAAAUGCGUAGAGAUCGGGAGGAAUACCAGUGGCGAAGGCGGCCUUCUGGACUGACACUGACGCUGAGGUGCGAAAGCGUGGGUAGCAAACAGGAUUAGAUACCCCAGUAGUC
This 465-nucleotide ribosomal RNA is filed under the name Vreelandella stevensii. RNAcentral's name for it is "partial 16S ribosomal RNA". It matches the Rfam family "Bacterial small subunit ribosomal RNA", at positions 338 to 795 of the family's 1533-position model. The record is from RNAcentral. Lineage: Bacteria; Pseudomonadati; Pseudomonadota; Gammaproteobacteria; Oceanospirillales; Halomonadaceae.